UACAGAGGGGGCAAGCGUUGUUCGGAAUUACUGGGCGUAAAGGGCGCGUAGGCGGCCUGUUAAGUCGAACGUGAAAUCCCUGGGCUCAACCCAGGAACUGCGUCCGAUACUGGCAGGCUUGAAUCCGGGAGAGGGAUGUGGAAUUCCAGGUGUAGCGGUGAAAUGCGUAGAUAUCUGGAGGAACACCGGUGGCGAAGGCGGCAUCCUGGACCGGUAUUGACGCUGAGGCGCGAAAGCCAGGGGAGCAAACAGG
Molecule: ribosomal RNA, 253 nt
Filed under: uncultured bacterium
Lineage: Bacteria
Description: partial 16S ribosomal RNA
Rfam family: Bacterial small subunit ribosomal RNA
Source: RNAcentral